UGGGGAAUAUUGGACAAUGGGCGCAAGCCUGAUCCAGCCAUGCCGCGUGUGUGAAGAAGGCCUUUUGGUUGUAAAGCACUUUAAGAGAGGAGGAGGCUACUUGGAUUAAUACUCUAGGAUAGUGGACGUUACUCGCAGAAUAAGCACCGGCUAACUCUGUGCCAGCAGCCGCGGUAAUACAGAGGGUGCGAGCGUUAAUCGGAUUUACUGGGCGUAAAGCGUGCGUAGGCGGCUUCUUAAGUCGGAUGUGAAAUCCCUGAGCUUAACUUAGGAAUUGCAUUCGAUACUGGGAAGCUAGAGUAUGGGAGAGGAUGGUAGAAUUCCAGGUGUAGCGGUGAAAUGCGUAGAGAUCUGGAGGAAUACCGAUGGCGAAGGCAGCCAUCUGGCCUAAUACUGACGCUGAGGUACGAAAGCAUGGGGAGCAAACAGG
RNAcentral lists this ribosomal RNA (430 nucleotides) under bacterium. Its description in RNAcentral is "partial 16S ribosomal RNA". It matches the Rfam family "Bacterial small subunit ribosomal RNA", at positions 355 to 776 of the family's 1533-position model. The record is from RNAcentral.